Molecule: long non-coding RNA, 3096 nt
Organism: Daphnia magna
Lineage: Eukaryota; Metazoa; Arthropoda; Branchiopoda; Diplostraca; Daphniidae
Exons: 5
Source: RefSeq, a predicted model, not a curated record
CUUGAUUAGUACAAGAAAAGAAGGUCGUCUUUGGAAACCGAUGAGGUCGAUAGUUACUUCAACGACGGUAUUGGGGAAUUGAUAUCCCUCGAACGCUUCCCAUCCAUCAAGAAAAUCUUUUUGGAAUGUAACAGUGCGUUGCCGUCGUCAGCCGCUUGUGAGUGGGUUUUCAGCACUGCGGUGCUAGUGUUUACUGCCAAAAGAACCAAUUUAUCGGAUCUUAACUUUAAAAUGUUAGUUUUUCUUAAGAUAAACGGUAAAUAUUGUCAUUUUUGGGCAACUAACCCAUCGAAAACAUCCAAACAGUGAUUUGUGGGAUCAAUUAAUACAAAACAGUGUAAAUUAAAGGUGUUUACGUCAUUAUUGAAAUUUCUGAUCAAACCUUGAUCGAUUGAACGAUCGAUCGAUCAAUUUUAGGACUGCUCGAGAUCGAGAUCGACGUUCACUUUUCUGUGAUCGAACGGCAUCUCUGCUUUAGCCCCUCCCUAGUUGUUAGCGUGAUGGUGUCAUGGCGAGUGGUUGAUCGUGCGUCGCGUUGCUGAUACGAUGAACCAAUCCGGUUUCUUUUAUUUAUCUGACUAGGGCUCUUUGUAGUUCGUGCUGAAUGUUAGUUGGUAACUUUAUGUUUAGUCCUAAUACGUUUUCCAUAUUAAAUUGCAGCCUGUUUUGUUUGUUUUUUUAAGAUUUUGUUCAUGUUUAUUCCCUUUUUAUUUCAAAUGCAAGUCAUUUUAAGAUGGUAUGCUCACUGAUUUCUCUUUCCUCAAAAUGUAGAAAAUCUUGGUCUAGCUGGUUAUGGAAUUUGGUAUGGUUCACUGUUAGUCUAUUGAGUAAGUCUAUAGUCCAAAUCUGAAGAGGAGUCUUGUUAUUGGUGUGGAUUUGUGUAGGUGCAAUUUUAGCAAGCCUGUUUGUGUUCUUGCAUGGAUAUUGAGCUUAUCGCUUCCUUGCCUUAAGUCAUUCAUGAUUUUUUUCUUAGGUGAAAUCGCAAUAUGGUUUCUUGCUCUGUUUCUGACAGUCUGUUGUGAACUAUGUUGCUAGGAGCAAGAGACUCCUUGGCUGAUAGUUGGUUUGCCUUCUCAUUACUAGGGAUUCCCACAUGGCUGGGUAUCAAGUAGAUGGUGAUUUUCGUGCCUGCACUCUUUAGGUUUGAUGCAGUGUUGAUUAUGGAGUAUGUUGUCUGAUGUAUUUUUUUUUCAGGAUGAUUUAAGUGCUUGCAUAACGGUCUUUGAGUUCGUGAAGAUGGCCAGUUUCUCAGUCAAAUCGUCGUGAGCAUAUACAAUUUCCAUGACUCUAAGGAUGGCCUGGGCUUUUGCGGUAAGAAUGAAGUGUGCCUUUCUCCAUCCUCCGGAGACUUGUGACUUGCUGCUGUUUUUAAGCCAGGAACAUUGAGUUUUUCCCAGGUUUCGGGGGCUUUUAUAACAUUUUUUUCAUUGUUAUACAUUUUUUUAUCAGUCUCCUGUUCUAUUCUAAUAAGGUAUCGGUUAGCUGAUAUGAUUCUUCUAGCUUCCAUAGGGUCCAGGGCAAGCUCACAUUGGCAGUUAUUCUGAGUAUGUGUAAUCUAUUCUCACACAGGAAGUGCGCCCUGUUAAAUUGUUUAUGAGCUAACCCAUAAUUUUUCCCUUAUUCCUAUUUUGCAUAGCUUAAUUAGUAGAUCUUAGAUCCAGGUUGAAUCAAACACUUUGGUGAAAUCGAGGAACACUGAGUAGGAGUCCAUGGGGCUUUGAUGUUUGUCGCUUGGUGUUUUCAAGUGUGCUUCUUCCUCUCCUGAAUCCUGAUUGACUGUUUAGUCUGAUUCUUUUGUUUUCUAGGAACCAGGUGAGUCUUUCAUUCAUUAUUUUUUCCAUAACUUUCCCAAGACCGGAGGUUAUUUAGAUAGGCCUGUAGGAUAUGGGUCAAUUGGUUUGUUCUGUUUUUAUCGGAAUGAUGGUAGCUUGCUUCUAGCGUGCUGGUACGAGUUUUCUUUGUAGAACACGAAUCAUGGGGUAAAGGAGGUAAUUCUUGUUGGUAGGUGAAAGAUUUUAAAAAACAUGUUGUGAAUUUGAUCCUUUCCCAUGGCUUUGCUUUUUAGGUUCUCCAGUCCAUAAUCUGGUUUUUUUUAUGAUUGGUGAAUUUAGCGCAUGGGGUCUUCUGGAUUUGAACUGUCUAUCAUGAGCAAUUCGUAUCGUGGGUCACCAGUUAUCUUUUUAAUAGUUAUAUUGUUUUGCGAAUAUUUCGGCCUUGUCUUUUUUGGCUAGGACGAUUUUGUUGUUGCAUGGAUUUCUUACGGACAAGGAGUUGUAGUCUGAUGUGGGAGUCCCUGUUAACAUGCUUUUAACAAAUGUCCAAUUUUCGUAAUAGGAUCCUUUGGAUUUAGGUGUCUCCAGAUGGACUUGUUAGUGGCGCAGCAUAUACAGCCUUUCUUGUGAUCACAUGUAUUUUUUCCCUUCUGGCAUUGGCUACAUUACAUUUACAUUGGCCUAACAUUUCUCGUUCCUCCAUGGGCAAAGAUGUCCUGUGUUUUUCUGACUGACUGGGUUUGGAUGUUUUAAUCUUACUGGGUUCUCUGGCUUCUAUCAUCACUUCGUGAAAUAUAUGGUACAUUGUUUCUGGGUUACGCGUAUUGCAAAAUUCACUGGCGUUAAUCUUGCAGCUUGAUUGCUCGCUCACUCCAGUCUGCAACCUUGAAGAUCCAGCUGAAAGCACGGUGUUUAAGUGUCAUAAGGCCUUCUUGAGAAAACGUGUUUUUUAAUCUUAGCAUUAUAAUAAGUGCAAAUUUUUGCAUAAGUGUAAUUUUUCAUAUGUAGGGUCGUGGCCCAUUGCAGUUCAGGUGGCCUUUUCCCACAACUCUUGGUGUCACAUUUUUGCAAGUAAUGAGUCACUAAAUCAGUAAAGUCCUUUUUUCAUGUGUGUUAAUUCUCUCAUGCGAGGAACAACUUUCUCCAGGAAGGUCACCACUGUAGAACGUUGGGACACAAACUUCUAAGGGUUUUCACCUUGUCACUAUAUUCUAAAUUCCUGCUGAGUGACACGUUUCAACAAAUAUCCACAGGCUUGGACUAAUGCAGCGUUUUUAAAUCCAGGAAGUGGGUAGGCUAGAAAUAAACAGUUAGAAACACUUCA